RNAcentral lists this long non-coding RNA (1422 nucleotides) under Lactuca sativa (garden lettuce). Its description in RNAcentral is "long non-coding RNA (LSAT_LNC000863)". The record is from RNAcentral. Lineage: Eukaryota; Viridiplantae; Streptophyta; Magnoliopsida; Asterales; Asteraceae.
CCGCGGUCAUCACUGGUACCUGAACACAUAACAAUAAACACUGUAAGCAUAAGCUUAUUGAGUUCCCCAAAAUACCACUCUAACACAUAAUAGCCACUCGAGGCUGUAACUUUGUUGACCCUCUGGUCUAUGUGUCUCAGUGGGGCCCUCCAGCCCCAACUCUCUGUGGGCCCUCUGGCCCUAACUCUAGGGACCCGAAAGUCCCAACUCUGUAACUCUGAAUCAUGCAUAUCACAUAUCACAAUAAAUCAGUACACAUAAAUAACAUGCAAAUACAUUGGCAUAUAACUCUAUAGUACUCUAUCCCAUAACUCUGUUACCACACUAGGUAAAGUAUAGUGAGAAGACUCACCUCAGGCGUCUCGGUAAAUCUCUGACUCGAUGGAAAAAUAUCUCCUAGCCUCCGCCUAUUCACAUAUAUAAAUACUCUUAUAAAUAUAACUCUCGAGUCUAGACUCAACCUGCGAUUGGCACCUUCAGAAAGGUAAAAGACCAUUUUACCCUCCCCUCUUGUCAGAAGGACUCUAUUGAUGACCAAACCCUAAAAGUCAACCAAAGUCAACGGUCCCACUUUGACCCUACUCACCGAGUGCACCCAGGUGACUCGGUGAGUUCUCACAUGUCCUUUAACUCUUUGUCCCGCUGGACACGCCGAGUCCCUCCCUAUAGUCGACGAUUCAUACCAGUCAUGAAUCGCGGGGCCACCCCGACUCAACUCGCCGAGUCUCAAGAACAACUCGGCGAGUACCGCCUUGAACUCCAGUCCUCUAACUCCCUCCUGACUCACUGAGUCAUCCCCCACCCCGGCAAGUCUACUCACUGAACAAUUUACGUGAAACCCUAACCCUACUCGCCGAGUCUCAAGAAUAGCUCGGCGAGUUCAUGCCAUGUACAAACUCUACUGACCUCCUAAGGUCAGAUCUGUUUCCCCAAACCAUAGAUCUGGCCUCCCCAAGCAUGAAUGUCACGUAAAGUUCGAAACUUGAUGCUUGUACAACCACAACAAGGCAUCAAAAGGAGAUUUAGUCCCAAAAAUGGCCACCUAAGUCCAAUAACCCCAAACUAAUCCAUAAAGCUCCAAGGGUUAAGGUCUCUGGACCUCUUUGAGUCCAGAUCCAAGGCACAAACUCGAAGAGGGACCAUUUGCUCCACAUAAUCAGUCUCCAAAGGGGUUAGAAAACCCUAACUCUAAAGAUCAACACCAAAACUGAAGGAGGUUCGAACUAUUACCUCAAAAUGAAGUCUUUGAACUCUGAAACUGCUUGAAUCGCACCUCCUCUUUGCUCUUGUCACCUUCUUCUUGCUAAACCAAAGAUACAACGAUCAAAAAGUGACUUCUUCUCCCUCACAGCGAUUUAGCUCUCUUAGGGUUCUCUCAAGGGACUGGUAGCCGCAAUGGGAGGCUAUAAGUGCCCUUAAAUA